UGGGGAAUUUUGCACAAUGGGGGCAACCCUGAUGCAGCGACGCCGCGUUAUUUAGAAGGCCUUCGGGUUGUAAAAAUCUUUUGUAUGGGAAGAAAAUGACAGUACCAUACGAAUAAGGACCGGCUAAUUACGUGCCAGCAGCCGCGGUAAUACGUAAGGUCCGAGCGUUGUCCGGAAUCAUUGGGCGUAAAGGGUACGUAGGCGGAUAAGCAAGUUAGAAGUGAAAUCCUAUAGCUCAACUAUAGUAAGCUUUUAAAACUGCUCAUCUUGAGGUAUGGAAGGGAAAGUGGAAUUCCUAGUGUAGCGGUGAAAUGCGCAAAUAUUAGAGGGAAAACCGGUGGAGAAGGCGACUUUCUGGCCAUAAACUGACGCUGAGAUACGAAAGCGUGGGUAGCAAACAGG
This 402-nucleotide ribosomal RNA is filed under the name Actinomycetes bacterium. RNAcentral's name for it is "Actinobacteria bacterium partial 16S ribosomal RNA". It matches the Rfam family "Bacterial small subunit ribosomal RNA", at positions 355 to 776 of the family's 1533-position model. The record is from RNAcentral. Lineage: Bacteria; Bacillati; Actinomycetota; Actinomycetes.